RNAcentral lists this ribosomal RNA (1206 nucleotides) under metagenome. Its description in RNAcentral is "bacterial SSU rRNA". It matches the Rfam family "Bacterial small subunit ribosomal RNA", at positions 8 to 1210 of the family's 1533-position model. The record is from RNAcentral.
AGAGUUUGAUCAUGGCUCAGAUUGAACGCUGGCGGCAGGCCUAACACAUGCAAGUCGAGCGGAUGAAGGGAGCUUGCUCCUGGAUUCAGCGGCGGACGGGUGAGUAAUGCCUAGGAAUCUGCCUGGUAGUGGGGGAUAACGUCCGGAAACGGGCGCUAAUACCGCAUACGUCCUGAGGGAGAAAGUGGGGGAUCUUCGGACCUCACGCUAUCAGAUGAGCCUAGGUCGGAUUAGCUAGUUGGUGGGGUAAAGGCCUACCAAGGCGACGAUCCGUAACUGGUCUGAGAGGAUGAUCAGUCACACUGGAACUGAGACACGGUCCAGACUCCUACGGGAGGCAGCAGUGGGGAAUAUUGGACAAUGGGCGAAAGCCUGAUCCAGCCAUGCCGCGUGUGUGAAGAAGGUCUUCGGAUUGUAAAGCACUUUAAGUUGGGAGGAAGGGCAGUAAGUUAAUACCUUGCUGUUUUGACGUUACCAACAGAAUAAGCACCGGCUAACUUCGUGCCAGCAGCCGCGGUAAUACGAAGGGUGCAAGCGUUAAUCGGAAUUACUGGGCGUAAAGCGCGCGUAGGUGGUUCAGCAAGUUGGAUGUGAAAUCCCCGGGCUCAACCUGGGAACUGCAUCCAAAACUACUAAGCUAGAGUACGGUAGAGGGUGGUGGAAUUUCCUGUGUAGCGGUGAAAUGCGUAGAUAUAGGAAGGAACACCAGUGGCGAAGGCGACCACCUGGACUGAUACUGACACUGAGGUGCGAAAGCGAGGGGAGCAAACAGGAUUAGAUACCCUGGUAGUCCACGCCGUAAACGAUGUCGACUAGCCGUUGGGAUCCUUGAGAUCAUAGUGGCGCAGCUAACGCGAUAAGUCGACCGCCUGGGGAGUACGGCCGCAAGGUUAAAACUCAAAUGAAUUGACGGGGGCCCGCACAAGCGGUGGAGCAUGUGGUUUAAUUCGAAGCAACGCGAAGAACCUUACCUGGCCUUGACAUGCUGAGAACUUUCCAGAGAUGGAUUGGUGCCCUCGGGAACUCAGACGCAGGUGCUACAUGGCUGUCGUCAGCUCGUGUCGUGAGAUGUUGGGUUAAGUCCCGUAACGAGCGCAACCCUUGUCCUUAGUUACCAGCACCUCGGGUGGGCACUCUAAGGAGACUGCCGGUGACAAACCGGAGGAAGGUGGGGAUGACGUCAAGUCAUCAUGCCCCCUACGGCCA